This 83-nucleotide transfer RNA is filed under the name Wolbachia endosymbiont of Litomosoides brasiliensis. RNAcentral describes it as "tRNA-Leu". It matches the Rfam family "tRNA". Rfam says of the family: Transfer RNA (tRNA) molecules are approximately 80 nucleotides in length. Their secondary structure includes four short double-helical elements and three loops (D, anti-codon, and T loops). Further hydrogen bonds mediate the characteristic L-shaped molecular structure. tRNAs have two regions of fundamental functional importance: the anti-codon, which is responsible for specific mRNA codon recognition, and the 3' end, to which the tRNAs corresponding amino acid is attached (by aminoacyl-tRNA synthetases). tRNAs cope with the degeneracy of the genetic code in two manners: having more than one tRNA (with a specific anti-codon) for a particular amino acid; and 'wobble' base-pairing, i.e. permitting non-standard base-pairing at the 3rd anti-codon position. Lineage: Bacteria; Pseudomonadati; Pseudomonadota; Alphaproteobacteria; Rickettsiales; Anaplasmataceae. The record is from RNAcentral.
GCCCCUGUGGUGGAAUGGUAGACACGGCAGACUCAAAAUCUGCUGCUUACAAAAGCAUGCUGGUUCAAGUCCGGCUAGGGGCA